RNAcentral lists this ribosomal RNA (183 nucleotides) under Pseudomonas aeruginosa. Its description in RNAcentral is "partial 16S ribosomal RNA". The stretch from base 41 to 183 matches the Rfam family "Bacterial small subunit ribosomal RNA", at positions 1 to 143 of the family's 1533-position model. Lineage: Bacteria; Pseudomonadati; Pseudomonadota; Gammaproteobacteria; Pseudomonadales; Pseudomonadaceae. The record is from RNAcentral.
UGAGCCAAGUUUAGGGUUUUCUCAAAACCCAAGCAGUAUUGAACUGAAGAGUUUGAUCAUGGCUCAGAUUGAACGCUGGCGGCAGGCCUAACACAUGCAAGUCGAGCGGAUGAAGGGAGCUUGCUCCUGGAUUCAGCGGCGGACGGGUGAGUAAUGCCUAGGAAUCUGCCUGGUAGUGGGGGA